UGCCUUUUUAUUUUACUUAAAAAAUGCAACCAUCAUGGAGCAUGAUGGCACCCCAUAUUCGUUCUAUGUCUAAAAUGUGUAAAUAUUUCACGACUGCCUUGCUUCAGAAUAUAUAUUUCACAUGUUCAUCAAUGUCACUGCAUGUUGCAACCACUUUUAACAGGCCGUUAGAGUUGGAAUUAGUUGGAAUUUCACACCCCUUAGUCUUGAUACCAUAUCAAGUAGGCCUACUCGUUGUCAAAAUAAACUCCAGGAUUUGCUCUGUCCAAUAAUGCUACUUGUUAGUCAGUGCAACAAUUGUGAAGGACUAUUGGCAAGUAUUCCAGUUUUGAAAUAACAUGCAAUUACAGUCGUUUUAAACUACUUCCAUCUCUGCAUCUCCACACACUCAAUACUAUUAUUAUUCCAUUAUCUCCAUACACUCAUCACACAUGAAUUACUCACGAAGUUGUCAUUUUGUAGACAUAAAACAGGUCUCAAAUGAAACGGCGAACCUAGUGCUUUGCAAUGACGCUAGUAACUUGUUUGUGGAACGGUGCAGAUAGGAGUAUUAUACACCAAAUUCAACAAAGUUGCAAUCAUUGGUCAUUUCUUCACCCAUUUUCUAUAUACAUAGCUGUAUAAGUCACGAAGUGUUUGUAGCCUCAAAGGGAAACACAUAUUAAAAUGAACAACAGGACCCACACUUUCAAACGAUGCUAGAUGCUAAUCUGUACCAAAUACGGUGGAGUAAUCCAGUUAUGGAACUACAGCAAAGGUCAGUGUUGUUGCAUAUACUAUUUUACAUAUAAACAGACAUAUUUUAAAAAUUGCUAAGCCGUAAAGUGUCCCACCAUCAUGGUUGUGACAUCACCAGAUUAUAGAAAGUCUUGUCUAUGGAUAUCUGAAAAGAUAUCCUCUCUGGAAAAAACAUAUUUUCAGAUUGAUGUAAAAAAUAUAUUACAUUUUUACCUUAAUAUGAAUGCUGACAUAGAACUUGUACAAGUAAUAUCAUAUCAGAUGAUGGCAGAUCUGGGUAGCCCUGAUUGUCCUGGAAAAAAAUCAGACUCUUAAGAGUUUGAAUGCGUCGUGAUCUCAAUUUCCACAUUCUAUUGUGUUUGUUACAGCAGGUGUUCAGGUCUAUAUUGUGCCGUUUUGCUACGUUGUGUUGGGAUUGUCAUGCAUGUAACCUGACUGAAACUUACAUUUAAAAUAAUGUUCAUUCACUAUGUAAUUUCCCUACAUUUAAAGGAGCGUUCCUGUGAGAAAACUUGUUAUACUGACUUCUGAAGAAGUCGGUUGGUGUAUAGGCCUAACUAUUCAAGCAGCUUUAGCCGUGACUUUUCAAAAUUGAGUUUGUUCUUGGAUCUUGCAGUCAUUAUUGAAACAUUUUUAAAUCUAAAAAUAAAGUUACAUUGGGUAUGAUACAUUUAACUUCAUUUUAGGCCAGAUUGUUUAUCUACAACAGCAAGCGUUAGCAAGCGUAAGUUAUUAGUACAACAACUUUAUGAGCAUGUGUCCAGUACCCUAUUCGUUUAAUCGCAUGAACAAUGAAUCAGAUUUGGUUUUCGAUUGACUGGUAAACUCCAGAAGAACACUACCUGUUUCAUUGUCUUGUCAGUAGAGUGUUUGAGGCAAUUCAAAUAGUGAAGCCCAGCAGGUCGAUGAUGUGCGUUUUUAUGUAUGAAGCCCUUGCAACCACCCCUCGAUGGUCUACAUCUAACCUAAGGUUAUGGGGGAAUUAAAUAGGAUGGCAGACUGGAAUAAAGUACGAAGAAGCAGAAACUGAUUAAAUAUCACGGCACCUGAUAUCGAUCACAAACGACCGCGUUCAC
Long non-coding RNA from Clupea harengus (Atlantic herring), 1814 nucleotides. Lineage: Eukaryota; Metazoa; Chordata; Actinopteri; Clupeiformes; Clupeidae. The record is from Ensembl.